This 509-nucleotide ribosomal RNA is filed under the name uncultured bacterium. Its description in RNAcentral is "bacterial SSU rRNA". It matches the Rfam family "Bacterial small subunit ribosomal RNA", at positions 19 to 518 of the family's 1533-position model. The record is from RNAcentral.
CUGGCUCAGGAUGAACGCUAGCGGCAGGCUUAACACAUGCAAGUCGAGGGGCAGCGGGAUGUAGCAAUACAUUGCCGGCGACCGGCGGAUGGGUGCGUAACGCGUAUGCAACCUACCUUAUACAGGGGAAUAACCUUUCGAAAGGGAGACUAACACCCCAUAGUAUUGAUUUAAGGCAUCUUAGAUUAAUUAAAUAUUUAUAGGUAUAAGAUGGGCAUGCGUAUGAUUAGCUAGUUGGUAAGGUAACGGCUUACCAAGGCGACGAUCAUUAGGGGUUCUGAGAGGAAGGUCCCCCCACACUGGUACUGAGACACGGACCAGACUCCUACGGGAGGCAGCAGUGAGGAAUAUUGGUCAAUGGGCGCAAGCCUGAACCAGCCAUGCCGCGUGCAGGAAAAGACGGCCUUAUGGGUUGUAAACUGCUUUUACAUAAGACUAACCGUAUAUUUGCGAAUAUACCUGAAUGUAUUAUGAGAAUAAGGAUCGGCUAACUCCGUGCCAGCCGCUGC